CUGGAAGACAGGCAUCACUGGGAUGGGAUGAGCUGCACAGAAAAGUGGCUCCCAGAGACAGGGAGGGAAGACGGUGAACAGGACCAAAAGUGACGGCGAGCACUCACACUGACCCAGUGCCCAUCGUGUGGCAGCGAAAUCCUUUAUUCUCUCUGAGAUGCGGAGAGCACUGCACAGUGAGGGUGGUGUCAGAGCGCAGCCCCUCCAAGCCUGCUGUGGAUGUGACCUCAGGCCUCCGCCCG
This 242-nucleotide long non-coding RNA is filed under the name Fukomys damarensis (Damara mole-rat). Its description in RNAcentral is "lncRNA (ENSFDAG00000026103.1)". The record is from RNAcentral. Lineage: Eukaryota; Metazoa; Chordata; Mammalia; Rodentia; Bathyergidae.